Molecule: ribosomal RNA, 500 nt
Filed under: uncultured bacterium
Lineage: Bacteria
Description: partial 16S ribosomal RNA
Rfam family: Bacterial small subunit ribosomal RNA
Source: RNAcentral
AUUGAACGCUGGCGGCAUGCCUUACACAUGCAAGUCGGACGGCAGCACGGGAGCAAUCCUGGUGGCGAGUGGCGAACGGGUGAGUAAUAUAUCGGAACGUGCCCAGUCGUGGGGGAUAACGUAGCUAAAGCUACGCUAAUACCGCAUACGAUCUAUGGAUGAAAGCGGGGGAUCGCAAGACCUCGCGCGAUUGGAGCGGCCGAUAUCAGAUUAGGUAGUUGGUGAGGUAAAGGCUCACCAAGCCGACGAUCUGUAGCUGGUCUGAGAGGACGACCAGCCACACUGGGACUGAGACACGGCCCAGACUCCUACGGGAGGCAGCAGUGGGGAAUUUUGGACAAUGGGCGCAAGCCUGAUCCAGCAAUGCCGCGUGCAGGAUGAAGGCCUUCGGGUUGUAAACUGCUUUUGUACGGAACGAAACGGCGAGCUCUAAUACAGUUUGCUAAUGACGGUACCGUAAGAAUAAGCACCGGCUAACUACGUGCCAGCCGCCGCGGUAA